AUUGAACGCUGGCGGCAGGCCUUACACAUGCAAGUCGAGCGGAGUGGCGAACGGGUGAGUAAUGACUAGGAAUCUGCCCUGUAGCGGGGGAUACCGUCCCGUAAGGGUCGCUAAUACCGCAUACUAUCAGAUGAGCCUAUGUCGGAUUUGCUAGUUGGUGGGGUAACGGCUUACCAAGGCGACGAUCCGUAGCUGGUUUGAGAGGAUGAUCAGUCACACUGGAACUGAGACACGGUCCAGACUCCUACGGGAGGCAGCAGUGGGGAAUUUUGGACAAGGGGCGAAACCCUGAUCGAGCCAUGCCGCGUGAGUGAAGAAGGUCUUCGGAUUGUAAAGCACUUUAAGUAGGGAAGCGGUACCUACAGAAUAAGCACCGGCUAACUACGUGCCAGCAGCCGCGGUAAUAC
Molecule: ribosomal RNA, 407 nt
Filed under: uncultured bacterium
Lineage: Bacteria
Description: partial 16S ribosomal RNA
Rfam family: Bacterial small subunit ribosomal RNA
Source: RNAcentral